UGUUUUGGUCUAAAAACAUGCAAAAGAAACUUGGCCAAUAUCCAGCCAUCUUUACAUCAUGUCUGGUCAAUAAUCCACGUGCAAUAAUGUGGACUAAGUGGAGCACAAUUCAUGGCGUAAAUACGUGAGUAAUUUCAAAUUUCAAGAUGAAAAAAGUCUGUUAAGAACUUCCUUUGAGAAAAACUCAGUGGUGUUUUUUCCAUAAGCUUUUAACACUAAGAAACAUUACGAAGAAAGUGAAUGGCAUGGCAUUACGGAAUUGCGCCCAUUGAAACACGUUGACUGAACAUUCAAAUUAGCUUCCAAAAACAUUAACAGGGCAUGCGUAACUAGAUGCAGAGAUGGUGAGAGAUGUCAAUCGUUAAAAUCCCAAGUGUAUAUCAGUGUCAAAACCAUUGUUCCUGAAAUUUGCUUGUGAAACCUUGAUCUAUUCAUUGUGUAACAAUAGACGUAAUUUAGUAGGAAGACCAUCUUGAUUUAACCACCAUUGUUAAGAAAUACAUCGCUUAAAUUUAAUAAAUGCAAGAGCUUUGCGAAAACAAGUCCAUAAUAUUAUCAAUUGGACCGAACGAACAAACUUUUCAACUAGUCUAGAGAUAUUGACAAAUGUGCUGAUCAGUUCAAACCCACUGAUCGCCAAAUUAACAAACAACAGAAAGUGAAAACAAAUGCAGACUUAAUAUCCUUUCUUCAAAAGCAUUCAAUACAAAAUACCAGAAAAAAAAACUUACAAUUUGCUUCUUCUUUACGCAUUACUCCUUCUGUGAGAUCCAGUUAUUUACCAGACAGCGUGAUAAAGACACACAGCUCUUGAAGCUACUUGGCAAACAUGACGCCUUUUGGAAACUGUGGGGUUUAUCGCAGAUCUGACACAAACUCGCAGAGCCUCAGUUAUUAAAAUGCUUUAUUCUCUGUUGUUUCUGUUAAUUCUUAAAAGCAAAACGUUUUAUUGUUUGUUUGGAGAAUGCAGACUAGUUGUGUCGAUCAACUGUGAUGCCAUAUGCUUUCAGGGUUUGGAUAGACUGGCCCAGAUGGCCUCGAUGUGAUAAUUGUUCUCAGCCGAGGACUGGUAUUUACACGUUUAGUGAAAUUACAUGAGAGAAUGAAACCCACCAAUUUGAAAGGAACCCAGGUUUUCAAGACAGGACAUGAUGAUGUCAACAUUGAAACUCUGAUUGAUAAAAAAACACAGAGAAGCAACAUGUGCUGAGACUCAAGACGAGAGAGAUUCACCAUGAAACAUCUGAUACCACAUUAAAUACAAACAGAAAGCUGUGUGUUGAGACUUUUGCGGACAGAGAUCCAUAUUGAGGCAAUAGUUUCCAUAUCAGAUACAAAACAGAGAAGCAAGAAAAAGAGCUAUGUGCUGAGACUCAGAGGAGAAAGAAUCAAACUGAGACAUUGGAUCCAAUAGUAGAUACAAAACAGAAGAAACAAUAAAAGCUGUGCUGAGACUCAAGAGGAAAAAAGAUCAAAUUAUGGCAUUGGAUACCCUAUCAGGUUGCCAUCUCAAGUGUACAUGCAGCGGCAUUAGCAUGGAAAGAAGCAAAGGAAAGCAAAGAACUUUGCUUGGAUGUUUCUUUAGUGGAUCACGUUUUAAAAGUAAGGUAGAUUUACAGGACGAAUUUUUUCUCGCCGGCGAUCGAGUUUCUUGCGAAAAAUUGAUAAGAUUGAUUUCACAACACAAAAGAAGAGAUUAGAAUUAAUGUCGAAUUGACUAGUAUCUACCAAAUUGUCUCGUAUCUUGCUAGUUUUUGAAGAAGCCGUGAACUGUAUUUCAAGUUUGUAGCAAAGGUAGAAUAUUAGCAUUACCUGGAUUUGUUUUUGUAACCCGAAUUUUCAGCCCGACAGUUUCAUUAUUAAACUUGUUGAAAUUACUGUCUAAUUGUCUAGUAUCUAUUUCGCAAAUUUACUGAAAUCUUUCUAGUUUUCGAGGACGCAUUGAAUUGAUGAAAGGGUUGCGCCUUUAAAAGGGCCAAGAAAAAAAUCGAAAAGUGGAAAAGUUGUCCUUAGGGAAAAAAGUCUGCAAUUUUAAAUGGUGUCUGGUUUUGAGUCAAACAUGUACAGAGUCUUUUGGCGGAAAAUACUCUUGCACUAUGUAGGAUUUUUUCCAUUAAAAGUCACAGUAUAUGCUUGAUUUCUAGCUAGACUCUGUUAAAAACCGCAGAAUUUUUUUUCUUUUUGGCAACCCUACAUAGUCAAAAAAUAGUAAAAGAGAUAGCCUACAUUUUGACUAGU
This is a long non-coding RNA of Orbicella faveolata, 2238 nucleotides long. RefSeq lists it as uncharacterized. The record is from RefSeq and is a predicted model, not a curated record. NCBI's taxonomy places the organism in Eukaryota, Metazoa, Cnidaria, Anthozoa, Scleractinia, Merulinidae.